Capsella rubella is the source of this 921-nucleotide long non-coding RNA. RefSeq lists it as uncharacterized. NCBI's taxonomy places the organism in Eukaryota, Viridiplantae, Streptophyta, Magnoliopsida, Brassicales, Brassicaceae. The transcript is spliced from 4 exons. The record is from RefSeq and is a predicted model, not a curated record.
CUAUCCCUAAUUUUCUCCCACUACCAUCUCCACGUUCUAGGUGAUUCUAUAACCGACUUCUCUUCUAUUUAAACCCCAGUUCAGUUUCUUUUAUCAGUAAUCUUUUUGUUCCAUCGUUUUUUGGGUUGCUCCUCUCCUCUGUAAUAGUCUAUGUUCCAUGGUUUUUCGGGUUUUGCUCCUCUAAACAACAUCUACGAUUUCGGUAUUGAAAAAAUUGCCAAAGAUUUCGCAAGUUUGGCUCAGUUUGUUCAUCGUCGUUUUACAUGCGGAUUUAUAGGUUCAUAUUUAAAAUUCAAGUCUCCAAAUAUGUCACUUGAUACUACACAUAUUUCCCAAAUAAGUCUGGAAGCAGAACCCAUGUGAAGUCAACAUUGAAUUGUCCUUACAAUUCUCAUUUUUCAUUGCAAAGAGAAAAAAUAGUUCAGUGGAGAAAAUAAAACACAGUGGUGAACGGAAAACAGUCGCAGGAGGUGACGUUGAUGAAGAUUAACUGAUCGCUGUUAAUUCCAGCGACUCAUGUAAUGCCGUUGCGACCCAUCUGCUACCUUCUGCGACUCAUCUAAAACUAUUAUUUUCACGCUCUCUUGUCAUUUAAUUUUGUUGCUACUCUUCACGACACGUUGUUUUACUCAGUCGCUGCUGCUAUCGCAGCGUUUAGUAAAAGAACAUGGCCUAUUUCUUCUACUAUUAAAAAUAGAUUGUUGGCAUGGGAGACUUAAAGUGGCGACUGUUUGUUCAUCUCGAAAGUAGAUGUUGACAGAAGUAACGAAUCAGGAGAUGACUUCUUAAAGACCAUUAACUCCAACGAAUAGCAUGGUAUGCACUUGCAGAUCAUUAGUGCAACCCAAAAUAUUUUCGAAAAAUUGCAAAUAUGAAGACAAUCCUAUUUACAAGGACCUCUUAAUGUUUUACAAACAACCA